CCAGGAUCUGGUGAGGGGUAAGGAGGAGGUAAGAUUCUGCUGCUUCUCUUGAAUCUUUCUUUCUCCCAAAUCUUUAUAUUUUUUUCUAGCUUUUCUUCCCAGCAGAUACUCUCUUUCAUCCCCUUCUUCAUAUCAUACCUGUACUGAUAUUCUGAUAGUUUUAUCAUCCUAUCUUUCUUGCCCCAAAUCUAGAACAUCCAGAAAGUGUUUGACAAAAAUCAAAUUAAUCAAACAUAGAAGAUGUAACACCAUGAGGUUGGUAAAUGUGUAGCCACAAUAAUCACUGCUCUGGGGGACCAUAUAUUUCUAUACCCAGGGCAUUGUUCAAAAUGCUGAGCACCUAACAAGAAAAACAAUCUUACUAUUUUAAAGUAGCAGUUGCAAAUCCCAAUGAUUUAUUCAAAAAAGGCUCAACAGCUAUCAGACACUAAAAAGGCACAUUUGACAAAAUUUAACACUUAUGCUUGAUUUUUAAAAUAUGCACUAUAAUGGGAAUCAUGGAUAAAAUACAGUUUAUGUCUCUCACUCCCCAAAACCAGCUUUGCACUUAACAGAGAAAUUCUGGAGAUGGUCCUAGUAGUCACUGUUAAGACAGGGAUGCCCACUGUCACUAUUAGUAUCUCAAAUUGUCCUAGAAGGAUUAGCCAAAGCAAUGAGGCAAAGGAAGUAAGGAAGCAAAAGUCUGGCUAUAUUCAGAUCAAACCAAGAGAAACCCAAGGGAAUGUCAUGAUAAGCUAUUUCAAACAAAAACAGAAUUCAGUGGGAAGUAAGAUAUAAAAAAUAAUACAAAGAAAUUGAUAGACUUCUUUUUUUUCUUCUUUAAGAUAAGAGAGAGAGGAGAGAGAGAGAGAGAGAGAAUUCUUUAAUAUUUAUUUUUCAGUUUUCGG
This 887-nucleotide long non-coding RNA is filed under the name Marmota monax (woodchuck). Lineage: Eukaryota; Metazoa; Chordata; Mammalia; Rodentia; Sciuridae. The record is from RNAcentral.